GGGAAACUGCCCGAUGGAGGGGGAUAACUACUGGAAACGGUAGCUAAUACCGCAUAACGUCGCAAGACCAAAGUGGGGGACCUUCGGGCCUCACACCAUCGGAUGUGCCCAGAUGGGAUUAGCUAGUAGGUGGGGUAAUGGCUCACCUAGGCGACGAUCCCUAGCUGGUCUGAGAGGAUGACCAGCCACACUGGAACUGAGACACGGUCCAGACUCCUACGGGAGGCAGCAGUGGGGAAUAUUGCACAAUGGGCGCAAGCCUGAUGCAGCCAUGCCGCGUGUAUGAAGAAGGCCUUCGGGUUGUAAAGUAUUUUCAGCGGGGAGGAAGGCGGUGGAGUUAAUAGCUUCACCGAUUGACGUUACCCGCAGAAGAAGCACCGGCUAACUCCGUGCCAGCAGCCGCGGUAAUACGGAGGGUGCAAGCGUUAAUCGGAAUUACUGGGCGUAAAGCGCACGCAGGCGGUCUGUCAAGUCGGAUGUGAAAUCCCCGGGCUUAACCUGGGAACUGCAUUCGAAACUGGCAGGCUAGAGUCUUGUAGAGGGGGGUAGAAUUCCAGGU
Molecule: ribosomal RNA, 559 nt
Filed under: uncultured bacterium
Lineage: Bacteria
Description: bacterial SSU rRNA
Rfam family: Bacterial small subunit ribosomal RNA
Source: RNAcentral